RNAcentral lists this ribosomal RNA (517 nucleotides) under Triacanus sp. MJM-2013. RNAcentral's name for it is "partial 16S ribosomal RNA". The stretch from base 391 to 517 matches the Rfam family "Archaeal large subunit ribosomal RNA", at positions 2542 to 2669 of the family's 2987-position model. Lineage: Eukaryota; Metazoa; Arthropoda; Insecta; Coleoptera; Nitidulidae. The record is from RNAcentral.
GUCCUUUUGAUAUUAAUAUAAGGUCUAACCUGCCCAAUGAUUAAUUUUUGAAUGGCCGCGGUAUUUUAACUGUGCGAAGGUAGCAUAAUCAUUAGUUUUUUAAUUGAAAGCUGGAAUGAAAGGUUGAAUAAGAAAAUUUCUGUCUCUAUUAAAAUUAUAUUAGAAUUUUAUUUUUAAGUUAAAAAGCUUAAAUAUAAUUUAAAGACGAGAAGACCCUUUAGAGUUUAAUAUAAUAAAAAUUAUUUUAAAAUUUUAGAAUUUAUUAUUUAAAUAAUAAAAUUAUAUUUGAUUGGGGCGAUUAAAAAAUUUAAAUAACUUUUUUUUUUAUUUUACAUUUAUUUAUGAAUAUAUGAUCCAAUAUUUUUGAUUAAAAGAAUAAACUACCUAAGGGAUAACAGCGUUAUUUUUUUUGAGAGUUCAAAUCGAAAAAAAAGAUUGCGACCUCGAUGUUGGAUUAAAAUUAAAUUAUGGUGCAGAAGUUAUAAUUUUAGGUCUGUUCGACCUUUGAAAUUUUACA